RNAcentral lists this ribosomal RNA (919 nucleotides) under Russula subnigricans. Its description in RNAcentral is "eukaryotic LSU rRNA". It matches the Rfam family "Eukaryotic large subunit ribosomal RNA", at positions 63 to 958 of the family's 3401-position model. Lineage: Eukaryota; Fungi; Basidiomycota; Agaricomycetes; Russulales; Russulaceae. The record is from RNAcentral.
AACUAACAAGGAUUCCCCUAGUAACUGCGAGUGAAGCGGGAAAAGCUCAAAUUUAAAAUCUGGUGUCCUCUGGUCACCCGAGUUGUAAUUUAGAGAAGCGUCUUCCGCGCUGGACCGUGCACAAGUCUCCUGGAAUGGAGCCUCAUAGAGGGUGAGAAUCCCGUCUUUGGCACGGAUGCACCAGGGCUUUCGUGAUGCGCUCUCAAAGAGUCGAGUUGUUUGGGAAUGCAGCUCAAAAUGGGUGGUGAACUCCAUCUAAAGCUAAAUAUUGGCGAGAGACCGAUAGCGAACAAGUACCGUGAGGGAAAGAUGAAAAGCACUUUGGAAAGAGAGUGAAACAGUACGUGAAAUUGUUGAAAGGGAAACGCUUCAAGUCAGUCGCGUCGACCGAGACUCAGCCUCGCCUUGGCUUGGUGUACUUCUCGGCCGACGGGUCAGCAUCAAUUUUGCCCCUCGGAUAAUGGCAAGGGAAAGGUGGCACCUUCACGGGUGUGUUAUAGUCUCCUGUCGCAUGCGAGGGUUGGGAUUGAGGAACUCAGCACGCGCCUUUUGGUGUCGGGGCUUUGGCCCACGCUACGUGCUUAGGAUGCUGGCAUAAUGGCUUUAAACGACCCGUCUUGAAACACGGACCAAGGAGUCUAACAUGCCCGCGAGUGUUCGGGUGGAAAACCCGUGCGCGUAAUGAAAGUGAAAAGUUGGGACCUCUGUCGUGGAGGGCACCGACGCCCGGACCAGACCUUCUGUGACGGAUCUGCGGUAGAGCGUGCAUGUUGGGACCCGAAAGAUGGUGAACUAUGCCUGAAUAGGGUGAAGCCAGAGGAAACUCUGGUGGAGGCUCGUAGCGAUUCUGACGUGCAAAUCGAUCGUCAAAUUUGGGUAUAGGGGCGAAAGACUAAUCGAACCAUCUAGUAGCGGUUCC